UGUACUUGUACUACCCAAAAAGAAAAAAGAAUUAAUACUCCUUCAAACAAUUGCUGGUGAUCCUUCCACAUAUAUAUAUAUAUGUGUACAUCUUCCUCAUUCAGAUCCCUAUCUUUAGGUUGCUACCUUCAAUAGAACCUGCAACACAUAUAUAAAUUAGUCCCAACACCAACUUUCAUUGCUGCAACUUUUAACAGAACAUUAUUAAAAGCCAUAUAAGGUAAGGAAGAGUUGUUUGUUGUCUGGUAAUAAGAGGAAAAGUGUAGUAAAAAAUGAAAUUUCCUCUUAAAAGUCAUGAAGAGAAAGUAGGGUCGUUUUCAUUCGUAACUAAAACCCAUUUUCUGCCUUAAUAAGCUUGACUCUUCUAUCUAUCUACCUGUGAAUGGCUGAGGUGGAAAGGAAAUCUGAUGGUCAAAUGUUAUAUUAUUGUAAACAUUCUGCAACUCAACGUCCCAUGUGGAAAGAAUUUGCAAAAGUUAGUCCCUAUUCACAUUCUUAAUGUAACUCUCUGCUUUAUUUCCAAAGCAGCCCGUUAAUGAUUAAUCGAAGAUCACCACUACACAUAUAUAUAUAUACAUAUAUACUCUCCUUCACUUUGCAUAAUAACUAUAUCAAUUAAUUACUUUACAAGAUUACUAUUAUGUUGGUGGCCUACCAAUGAUAAACGUCUCCCACACUGAUUUGUUUGGAUUAACUUACCAUGCUUUGGAAACGAGUUAAACUUGUUUUUCAACGUCCCAUCUGGAGUAUACACAUACAAAAAAUAUAUACGUCAUGUACUUGUACUACCCAAAAAGAAAAAAGAAUUAAUACUCCUUCAAACAAUUGCUGGUGAUCCUUCCACAUAUAUAUAUAUAUGUGUACAUCUUCCUCAUUCAGAUCCCUAUCUUUAGGUUGCUACCUUCAAUAGAACCUGCAACACAUAUAUAAAUUAGUCCCAACACCAACUUUCAUUGCUGCAACUUUUAACAGAACAUUAUUAAAAGCCAUAUAAGGUAAGGAAGAGUUGUUUGUUGUCUGGUAAUAAGAGGAAAAGUGUAGUAAAAAAUGAAAUUUCCUCUUAAAAGUCAUGAAGAGAAAGUAGGGUCGUUUUCAUUCGUAACUAAAACCCAUUUUCUGCCUUAAUAAGCUUGACUCUUCUAUCUAUCUACCUGUGAAUGGCUGAGGUGGAAAGGAAAUCUGAUGGUCAAAUGUUAUAUUAUUGUAAACAUUCUGCAACUCAACGUCCCAUGUGGAAAGAAUUUGCAAAAGUUAGUCCCUAUUCACAUUCUUAAUGUAACUCUCUGCUUUAUUUCCAAAGCAGCCCGUU
This 1309-nucleotide long non-coding RNA is filed under the name Carica papaya (papaya). RNAcentral's name for it is "long non-coding RNA (CPAP_LNC008175)". The record is from RNAcentral. Lineage: Eukaryota; Viridiplantae; Streptophyta; Magnoliopsida; Brassicales; Caricaceae.